GGUUGAUCCUGCCAGUAGUCAUACGCUUGUCUCAAAGAUUAAGCCAUGCAUGUGUAAGAAUAAAUAACUUUUUCUUGAAUCUGCGAAUGGCUCAUUAUAUCAGUAAUAAUUUACAUGAUAAUUCAAUACUACUUGGAUAACCGUAGUAAUUCUAGAGCUAAUACAUGCGUAAAAACCUGACUUCUGGAAGGGUUGUAUUUAUUAGAAUAAAACCAAUUCGUUCUCGGACGAUAUUGUGGUGAGUCAUAAUAACUUAGCGGAUCGCAGCGGCCUUGUGUCGGCGAUGAAUCAUU
This 293-nucleotide ribosomal RNA is filed under the name uncultured eukaryote. RNAcentral's name for it is "partial 18S ribosomal RNA". It matches the Rfam family "Eukaryotic small subunit ribosomal RNA", at positions 6 to 299 of the family's 1831-position model. The record is from RNAcentral.